CCCCACCAUCAGCACCCAAAGCUGAUAUUCUACUUAAACUACUUCUUG
Molecule: transfer RNA, 48 nt
Filed under: Apodemus agrarius (Eurasian field mouse)
Lineage: Eukaryota; Metazoa; Chordata; Mammalia; Rodentia; Muridae
Description: partial transfer RNA-Pro
Source: RNAcentral